AUUGAACGCUGGCGGUAUGCUUAACACAUGCAAGUCGAACGAUGAGAAAGAGCUUGCUCUUUCGAUUAGUGGCGGACGGUGCGUAACGCGUAGGAAUCUACCUAUUAGUGGGGGACAACUUAGGGAAACUUAAGCUAAUACCGCAUACGCCCUACGGGGGAAAGAAGGGGAUCGCAAGACCUUUUGCUAAUAGAUGAGCCUGCGUAGGAUUAGCUAGUUGGUGGGGUAAAAGCUCACCAAGGCGACGAUCCUUAACUGGUUUGAGAGAAUGAUCAGUCACACUGGAACUGAGACACGGUCCCGACUCCUACGGGAGGCAGCAGUGGGGAAUAUUGGACAAUGGGCGAAAGCCUGAUCCAGCAAUACCGCGUGUGUGAAGAAGGCCUUAGGGUUGUAAAGCACUUUCAAUUGGAAGGAAAACCUCGAAGCUAAUACCUUCGAGUUUGACAUUACCUUUAGAAGAAGCACCGGCUAACUCCGUGCCAGCAGCCGCGGUAA
Molecule: ribosomal RNA, 498 nt
Filed under: uncultured bacterium
Lineage: Bacteria
Description: partial 16S ribosomal RNA
Rfam family: Bacterial small subunit ribosomal RNA
Source: RNAcentral